Molecule: long non-coding RNA, 1703 nt
Organism: Alligator mississippiensis (American alligator)
Lineage: Eukaryota; Metazoa; Chordata; Crocodylia; Alligatoridae
Exons: 3
Source: RefSeq, a predicted model, not a curated record
CGAGACCGAGCGCCCUCCGGCGGGAGCUCGCACCGCCGGCGGGGGGGAGCCCCGCGCCCCCCGCCGCGUGCAGUGCGGAGCCGGCUGCCCCUCCCUCCCUCGGCCCCGCCCGCCCGCAGCACGCACCCGCACACCUCCCUCCCGCGACCGUGCCCGGCGCGCCCAGCCCUCCCCGGGCACGUCUCGGGCGUGCAGCAAGGAGCGGGCUCUGCGCUAGCUGGAUGCCGGGCUGGGCUGCAGAGGGGCCUGAAGCACGGGAUGGGACCCAAAGACGUGUCAUGAGGCUCAGGACAAAGUCCCGCGUAAGCCAGAUUCUGCUAGUCUCACUCGGUAAGGCACUGUUCAUUCUAAGGACUUGGGUCAGAUGGUGAAUAUGCAAAAAUGCUGCGAGGCAGCUGUUGUUUGUAAAAUGUAUAACAGAUCCCUCGUUCACAAGGACAGAGGAGGGGAGCCAGAAAGACACUAUUAAGAACAGUCCCUAAUCACCGUCACUUACGGCUCAAAUAAAGAUGGAUCAGAUCAUAAGGGCUUCUUUGAUGGCUUCUCCUUGGAUUGACGACGCAUCCCAAUUCCACUGUCCUUCAGCAGCAUACAUAACCCAGGAGUGCUCCAAACUGUGAAGGCUCGCAGCUCUGGAGGGGCUUACCGAGGACUCAGACAAGAUCAUAAUACAGAACCUCAGAGAAGGCACUGGUGUCUUGAACUUCUGUGCCACAAUAGUUAUUGCAUCGAUUUGUUUCUCACUAUUUCCUCCCUGAAGAUCCUCGUCUUUUCACAUAGGCAACUGACUCUAACACGCAGAGCAGUGGUUCUCAACCACUUUAGACUCUAGGCAGCUUUUAGUUUCCACUUAUUUUUUGAUUGUGGAAAAAUAAGAGCAAUUCUUCUGUGUCAAAGAAUUCAGAAAGACCACAACAGGUCAGAAAGUUUUUGUUGCUAUGGAUUCCUGAUUGAAAUCUCCGAGUUUAUCUUGUGAAUCAUGCGUAAGGUUCUGCACUUAAAGCAAAUAUUACACAAGAACUCCCUGACCACUUAAAAGGGUUUCAUGGCAGCCCAGGGUGUGGCAACAUGCUGGUUGAGAACCCUUGCUGUAGGGCAAAGAUGUAACCUAGUCUCUCAAAUGGAUGCAGAGCCCUUUCUUGCACCAUGAGUCUACACGUGGCCAUUACUUCUGAUCACAUCUUGUUAACCUUCCUUCAGGUCCUUUUCCUCCACCUGUUUCCUCUCCAUUUUUCUGGGUUUUUACCCUCUCUCAACAUCACUUUCUUCCAGUUUGUUGCUCAUUCAUUUUUCUCGUGAUCUGAACUCCCCACUCCUUCCUUUUUCCUCUUAUGUUUGUGGCUUCCCUGUUCUGCUUCAACUGCUGCCUACUCAGAGGGAUCCAAACUGGAGUAACAAAGUUUCUGGCCUGCAUGUUGCUGUACAACCAAGGGACACACUGUUUUACAUCAUCACAAGAGGAAAAAAAAAAAAAGUUGUUGCCCCACUAACUCCCAUGCUAAGAGUCUAAUGUGGGCAAAUAUGUACUCCAAUUAUCAUACAUACUAAAAAAAAUCAAGUUAAGCGCAAGCAGGAGCCUAACCUUUAACACGACCCAAUCCAGACAACACGGGUAUAAAAAUUCCUAUUUUUUUCCAAUAAAGAUAAGACCACUGUGGGAGGCCAAAGAGCAUGAGAAAAGAGAGAGGCAAAAAACAACAAAC